UGCUUUCUAGCUCUUCAGAACCCAAUGCC
This 29-nucleotide non-coding RNA is filed under the name Mus musculus (house mouse). Lineage: Eukaryota; Metazoa; Chordata; Mammalia; Rodentia; Muridae. The record is from RNAcentral.